UACGUAGGGCCCAAGCGUUGUUCGGAUUUACUGGGCGUAAAGGGCGCGUAGGCGGCGUGUUAAGUCAGCUGUGAAAUCUCCAAGCUUAACUUGGAACGGUCAGCUGAUACUGAUGUGCUAGAGUGCAGAAGGGGCAAUCGGAAUUCUUGGUGUAGCGGUGAAAUGCGUAGAUAUCAAGAGGAACACCGGAGGUGAAGACGGGUUGCUGGGCUGACACUGACGCUGAGGCGCGAAAGCUAGGGUAGCAAACGGG
This 253-nucleotide ribosomal RNA is filed under the name uncultured bacterium. RNAcentral describes it as "partial 16S ribosomal RNA". It matches the Rfam family "Bacterial small subunit ribosomal RNA", at positions 524 to 776 of the family's 1533-position model. The record is from RNAcentral.